CUAGCCAUUCAAGCUCUCCAAGCUCAGAGUGCUCUUUCUGCAACCAGAGAAUCGGACAUGGUAUGAUUGUUAGGUACGGAUAUAUAUCUAACUUGAGUACAUCUUUGAAUCAUUCAUUUAUGUUUCUCACCUUGUUUAGAGAUUGAAUAUCUGAAAGUUCUAACAGAUCAUCAACAGCCCAUGGAGAUGAAAAGCUCGAAUGUUGUUGAUGUGCAGGCAUUUUCAUUGAAGUCUGAGGUGCACUCUUGUUGGGUGGCUCCAACACAUUGUUUUCAGUGUUUUUAUUGCAACUCGAACUUAAGGCAACUCGGAUUCCAGUGGCGAGGAACCUUUGAUGGUUUGCAGCAAGGCUGCCGGCUGGAUGG
This 365-nucleotide long non-coding RNA is filed under the name Gossypium barbadense (sea-island cotton). Its description in RNAcentral is "long non-coding RNA (GBAR_LNC008598)". The record is from RNAcentral. Lineage: Eukaryota; Viridiplantae; Streptophyta; Magnoliopsida; Malvales; Malvaceae.